Molecule: ribosomal RNA, 268 nt
Filed under: uncultured bacterium
Lineage: Bacteria
Description: partial 16S ribosomal RNA
Rfam family: Bacterial small subunit ribosomal RNA
Source: RNAcentral
AAUCAACGCUGGCGGCGUGCCUAACACAUGCAAGUCGAACGAGAAAGUGGAGCAAUCCAUGAGUAAAGUGGCGACCGGGUGAGUAACACGUGACUAACCUACCUUCAAGUGGGGGAUAACCUCGGGAAACCGGGGCGUAAUACCGCAUAAUAUCUUUGGGGCGGAAGAACCGAAGAUCAAAGGAGCAAUUCGCUGGAAGAGGGGGUCGGCGGCUGAUUAGUUAGUUGGCGGGGUAAUGGCCCACCAAGACAGAGAUCGGUAGCCGGCC